This 455-nucleotide ribosomal RNA is filed under the name uncultured bacterium. Its description in RNAcentral is "bacterial SSU rRNA". It matches the Rfam family "Bacterial small subunit ribosomal RNA", at positions 29 to 521 of the family's 1533-position model. The record is from RNAcentral.
AACGAACGCUGGCGGCAUGCCUAACACAUGCAAGUCGAACGGGAUCCUAGCUUGCUAGGUGAGAGUGGCGGACGGGUGAGUAACACGUGGGAAUCUGCCUUUUGGUUCGGGAUAACCGCGGGAAACUGCGGCUAAUACCGAAUGCCCUCGAGAGAGGAAAGAUUUAUCGCCAGAAGAGGAGCCCGCGUCCGAUUAGGUAGUUGGUGGGGUAAAGGCCUACCAAGCCGACGAUCGGUAGCUGGUCUGAGAGGAUGAUCAGCCACACUGGGACUGAGAUACGGCCCAGACUCCUACGGGAGGCAGCAGUGGGGAAUAUUGGACAAUGGGGGCAACCCUGAUCCAGCAAUGCCGCGUGAGUGAUGAAGGCCUUAGGGUUGUAAAGCUCUUUUGCCAGGGAAGAUGAUGACUGUACCUGGAGAAUAAGCCCCGGCUAACUUCGUGCCAGCAGCCGCGGU